Molecule: regulatory RNA element, 93 nt
Organism: Drosophila melanogaster (fruit fly)
Lineage: Eukaryota; Metazoa; Arthropoda; Insecta; Diptera; Drosophilidae
Rfam family: R2 RNA element
About the family: This family represents the 3' UTR region of the R2 retrotransposable element. This family is known to interact with the R2-encoded reverse transcriptase in a reaction known as target primed reverse transcription (TPRT).
Source: Rfam
UUUGUUUAAGUACGUAGGCAUAAUCCCAAUAGAGUUUAUGAAUCGUGCAAUCCACCUACGGACGGUAUGUGGUAUCUUUAGAAGAUUUUAAUU